UUGCACUUUGUGGGCAGUGGAUGCUUCUGUACCUGAGUGAGGGCACCCCUGUGGGUCUUGGGUGGGGUAAGGGGGCAGGUAUUGAAGAAGGUCGAAAAGAGUCAAUGCCAUGAACUGUGAACAUCAGUCUGAGGAAGUGCACUCUGAAACCUUCCGUUUCUAAUAACCGAUGUCUGGUUUCCUUUGGUGACAUCUAGGUCAAUGUUGCACACAUCAGACUUGCUUACCUAUGUAUUCCCCUAACAUUUGGAUUCAAAAUGCUUUUUCAGGCUCUGGUUCCCUACAGAGAUGAAGCUCUCUGAUAUCGAAUAACUGUUCCACUGGACAUGAUGUCUAGCUCCCUGGGUAUAAUCCCAUUUCCUCAACCCAGUCCCUCCAGAGGUCACUGCCAAGGGGCAUUGUCUGCACUCUGCCUCAGGAGCAUCUCAUCCAGAGUUGCACUACGCUCUUCUCGGGCUAGAUGUGGGGGAUUUGGAGGCAUCGAGGAAGUGAAGAAGACGUUGAGUCAGUACUUCUGGAGUUCUUUCUCCCUGCUCACAGGACUGCUGGCCCAACAAAACUGAGAACUCCCUGCCCGAGAGGGAAGGUGCUACUUCUGGCCCUGUCAGAGCAGACAGCACCCCACAGCCUGCACAGUCAAGACCAUGAUGCUUGCAGAUGAGCAGGGACCCGGGUUAGCAAGAUACCCAAAGGGCUGGCCGCUCCAGGAAAGUGACGAGAGACACUGACCUUCUGCCUUCAGGAUGUGGAGUUAAAGAGCAUAAGACAACAAUCUGGGCAAAAUCGAGACCAAAGCCAGGGAGGCCAGACAAAGGGGAAAACUGACUCCUCGCUCUAGGCUAGAAACAGGAACACCAAACAGAUGUGUCCUUAGAGGUCAAGGAAACCCAAGAGUGUCCUAAAGCCAAAAAGCAAAGCCAUAGGUUUCUUCCAAGAAGGAGCUGCCUAGACAUCUGAGAUCGGCUUCGCUCCGUAUAUAUGUAUUAAUGUACUCAAGGAAUGUUUAUGUCCUGAGUGCGGCUGUUCACGGCGUAGUUGUCCCUGAAGAGAGCAGUCUGGAGAGAGGAGAUGGGCCCUAAGGGAUCUCUGACUUGUCAAGACCUGGAAAACCACCCUGGGUCCCAGGGAACACAAAUGGAAGUAGGGUGUGGUGGAGAAGAAGGAACAAGAGGAAGACUGCUUUCUGCCCCAAGGGUGGAGCUAUGGUUCUUGGGAAGUGAAGCCUAGGCCAGGGCAGAGAUAGAACAGCAACAGAGCGUGACCAAUGGCUCUUUUGUUGUUUGUAGCCUUCACUGAAUGCCAGGCACUGAAUAUUUCAUAAAAUGUUAACUCAUUCCGUCCUCAGGCAACCCUUGAGGUAGAUAUGAUUAUUCUUUUCAUUUUCCAAAUAAGGAAACUGAGCCACGGAGUCUACUUAGUGCCUAGGAAAGUGACCAGACAGAGGUAUCCAGACUAAGAGCAUUCCGGGGCAAACGUACUUGCAGGUAAAAGCUAGAUCCUGAACCCUCUCCGGGCACGGUGACUGGAUCAAACCUUGUGCCUGCCUGGAGGAGGCUUCUUUUAUGACACUCGAACCUACGGAUGGUGGUUCCAUGGCAGAGGUCUGAGGCUGGCUCUCAGAAACAGAACUGGACGUGUAGGCUCUCUCUAGAAUGCUCUAGAGCUCGUAACAGCUGUUUAAAAAUUUAUCCUCCCCCAGCUCCUUGGCCAAACGCAACAUGCUGGCCCCUGAACCUACCUCCCGGAAUGAGUUUGUCUCUGCCACUGAUCACGCAUUCAUUCCCGGUUGUCUGGGAGACAGCAUGUGAUAGUAUGUACCAGCGAUUGCGCUGGGCAUGAAUGAGGUGAGGUCUGGACCGAUCAAGAGAGGGGUCCCACAUUGGGGUAAAUCUGUGACUGAAGAAAGAAGAGUAAGGGUGAGCCUGCCGGAGGGUAUCUGAAUAGCAGAGAGAUUCAGGAAGACAGCUGGAGCCUGGCCGGCUGCACAGAAACUGCAAGUCAUUUCUUGGGGACUCGCCUGACAGCCUCCUGGAGAUGCAGACCCAGAGGAAAACACAGCCUCUCCUCUUGUCUCACUGGCCAGUUUAAAAAAAAACAUGUAAGAAGGAGGCUUUCCCGAAAUGACAGUG
This is a long non-coding RNA of Leopardus geoffroyi (Geoffroy's cat), 2129 nucleotides long. RefSeq lists it as uncharacterized. The record is from RefSeq and is a predicted model, not a curated record. The transcript has 3 exons. NCBI's taxonomy places the organism in Eukaryota, Metazoa, Chordata, Mammalia, Carnivora, Felidae.